GCCUACGGGGGGCUGCAGUCGAGAAUCUUCGGCAAUGGGCGAAAGCCUGACCGAGCGACGCCGCGUGCGGGAUGAAGGCCUUCGGGUUGUAAACCGCUGUUGUUGGGGAUGAAAUCUCUGGGGGUUCUCCCCCAGAGUUGACAGAUCCAAUGAGGAAGUCCGGGCUAAGUUCGUGCCAGCAGCCGCGGUAAUACGAACCGGACAAACGUUAUUCGGAUUCACUGGGCUUAAAGAGUGCGUAGGCGGUCUACCAAGUUGGGUGUGAAAUCCCUCGGCUCAACCGAGGAAUUGCGCUCAAAACUGGCAGACUCGAGGAAGGCAGGGGUAAGCGGAACUGAUGGUGGAGCGGUGAAAUGCGUUGAUAUCAUCAGGAACACCAGUGGCGAAGGCGGCUUACUGGGCCUUUUCUGACGCUGAGGCACGAAAGCUAGGGUAGCGAACGGGAUUAGAUACCCUAGUAGUCCCA
RNAcentral lists this ribosomal RNA (466 nucleotides) under uncultured Planctomycetaceae bacterium. RNAcentral describes it as "bacterial SSU rRNA". It matches the Rfam family "Bacterial small subunit ribosomal RNA", at positions 337 to 798 of the family's 1533-position model. The record is from RNAcentral. Lineage: Bacteria; Pseudomonadati; Planctomycetota; Planctomycetia; Planctomycetales; Planctomycetaceae.